Molecule: long non-coding RNA, 755 nt
Organism: Poeciliopsis prolifica (blackstripe livebearer)
Lineage: Eukaryota; Metazoa; Chordata; Actinopteri; Cyprinodontiformes; Poeciliidae
Exons: 3
Source: RefSeq, a predicted model, not a curated record
AACGCACCACACAAGUGCUGGCAUUUAAUUGGUUGUGGCGCUGUUUGUAUAUAAGGGGCCCUCCCUCACCUGGUCAAUAUGUGUUUCCGGUUUAGACCUCUGUUGCUGUGCAGCGCCAGUAGCACACUCAGGUGUGCACGUUGAUCGCUCCUUCUUCUGGUGGCCUGUGUAAAUUGCCUGAUCCUCCUCCCAGCCAGAGGCACUACACAUAGAGCUUGUGACGCUGCUGUUUGUCCUUGGCCGGCUGUUUGCCUGUUGCCCUGUGGUUCCUGGUUGAUGUCAGCUGUUAUUUUGGUUGUCCGUCGGCAGUCCAUUUGUCGCUCUGGUUGCUGGCUCUCUGCCAGCCGUCGUGGUCAGCGUGAACCUGACUCCUGCCCUUUGUCCAGCUUGGCUGGUUCGGACUGGCGACCAGCUUGGACGGACUCUGCUGCCGCUCUUGAGUGGCGUCUGUGGCGUGGCAUCCCAGGACGAAUUCUUAAUUGACAAUUGCUGCUGAUUGAUUGUUGACUGAACGACAAUUAUGAAAUGACUCAUGUAAUUUGAAUGUCUUUUAUCUUGACAGGAAAGGCCAGUUCGUGGUGUUGGUGGUGGACUUUCCGGGUGGUGGUACUCUUUUGAUUUGCUGCACAAUUUUCUUUAGUUUUGUUGUUUUGUUUGCUGUGUUUCUUUUAUUUAGGUCACUACCCUGAACUGCACUGCCACCCUUGACUUGAGCCGUCACUGUUAUUUAUUUAAUGUGAGUGGUUUUAACUUGG